Pelobates cultripes (western spadefoot toad) is the source of this 370-nucleotide non-coding RNA. NCBI's taxonomy places the organism in Eukaryota, Metazoa, Chordata, Amphibia, Anura, Pelobatidae. The record is from the annotation of a GenBank genome assembly.
CUAAGUAAGUAAUCCCAUAGAGACUGUUCAAAACAAAAUGUUUAAGAACUUAAAGAAUCCGUUAAAUGCAACUAGGUAUUUUUAGAAACUCUCCUGUUUUCAUUUGCCAAAAUAAAAUGCAACAACAAAUUGCACGAAAGAAGGGGUAACCUGUGCCAAAAGCAUUGUGUGAAUAUACUUGCAUCCUAAUGUGAUCUCUUACAAACUAUUCUUCUGUAAUUUUUGAAAUUUGCAAUCCCAAACAUACCAGCAUAGAACUUGUACAUGGGUGAAGUGAAUGUUUUGAGCAUUUUAACAUGAUUGCACCAGUAAAGCAUGUUUGUAAAGGCUGUCCAUGUACGUAGAGUCUGCACAUUUUAUGGAUUGUGAG